UCGUCCCCCUAAGGUCAGACCCUGAUCAGCACCAUCGCAGGAUCCAUGGACUUGGCCUUGAGGCUUGUUGCAGGUGUGUCCUGACCUCCCAUUUCCCCACCUUGUGGUAUUCAUGAGGGCCAAGUGCCCCUGCAUGCCCCGGUGGUGGUGGUGUGAGUGGGCUAAAAAUCAAACACACCUUCCCCUACCCCGGGGUGGCUGUCCGUGCUGCGUGUGGCUGUAUAUGGUGUCCCACGGCUACCUACGCCAGACACCCCUGGAGCGCUGGCCUUGUGACUGUGUCCAGCGGGCAACCUCUCCCCAGGCAGGCCUCUGCGCAGAUCGGGGCAGUGCAAACUUGGCUGCACAGAAAGCACGACCUAGGGAAUUCCCUAACAGCCUCCAUUCAGAAGUGCAACCCGCUGAAUUGAGGCAUAUUACUAAGCAGAUGAAAUGAAACUAACCAGGAUUCCCUCAGUAACGGCGAGUGAAGAGGGAAGAGCCUAGUGCUGAAUCCCCAUCCGGCGACGGGCACGGGAAAUGUGGCGUACAGAAGAUCAACUCCCUGGCAUUGCUCAGGGGGCCCAAGUCAUUCUGAUAAAGACUCACCCCUUGGAUGGAAUUAGGCCGGUAGCAGCCCUCAGUGUGCCAGGAUCGGGUCUUCUUGAAGUCGGAGUGCUUGGGAAUGCAAACCAAAGCAGGUGGAAAACUCCAUUUAAGGCUAAAUAUGGGUGCAAGACUGAUUGCCAACAAGUACAAUUAGGGAAAGUUGUUAAGAGAUAGUUCAAGACGGCAUGAAACAAUUGAGAUAUAAACAGGUGAGAUCCAUUCUGUCCAGCCAGAGGAUUCAACAUGGCAGGCAGAUCUGUCAUUAGGAACAGUGGAUCCCUUGGGGGACCCCUCAGGGCACAUUCCUCCAUGGCAGUUCACCACAAACAGUCCAUGUCGGCUGGGAAGGCCCCAGGGGCAGGUGGCUCUCCACUUCGGCAGAGAGUGUUGCAGCCCCCUGGCAGCAGUUUUGCCAUUUCCACAGACCCAACAAGAUGAACUGCUGCUGCGCUCUCCUGCAGAAACCAUCCCGGCCCUCUCGGUGGUUGAUGGACAGAGACGGGGACGGGCCCACUACUCCAGGCGCCACUGUCGACAGGGGUGGACUGGCCAAAGUGCACCACGACGACAUUGCACCGCUGGCUGAGGAGUCCCACAAAUGCACCAGGAGUCUUCGGUGAUGCCGGUAACCCACCCAACCCAUCUUGAAACACGGAACGAGGAGUUUAACACGUGCGUGAGUCUUAGGGCUGUACAAUACCCAGUGGUGCAAUGAAGGUGAGGGGAUACGCGUGCCAGCCGAGGUGGGUUUCUGUCGCGCCUUCACAGCGGCCACACCACUGGUCUGUCUCACCUGCUCUGUGAGGGAGAUGGUGCAUGAGCAUGUGUGAUGGGACCCGAAAGAUGGUGAAGUAUUCCUGGGCAGGGCGAAGUCAUAGGUAACUCUGAUGGAGGUCCGUAUCGGUCCUGACGUGCCAAUCAGGUAUAAGGGCAAAAGACUAAUCAAUCCAUCUAGUAGCUGGUUCCUAUUGAAGUCCCCCUAAGGAUAUAUGGCACUCUGAAACCCCAGUUUUAUCAGGUAAAGCAAGUGAUUAGAGGUCUUGGGGCCAACACAAUCUCAACCGAUUCUCAAAUUUUAAAUGGGUGUUAAGCACGACUCACUGGCAUGGAGCCAAGCAUCAAAUGCGAUUGCCCAGUGGACCACUUUUGGUAAGCAGAACUAGCACUGCACAAUGAACCUAAUGCCGAGUUUAAGGCGGCCAUUGAUGAUGCUCCUCAGACCCCAGAAAAGGUGUUGGUUGAUAUAUACAGCAGGACGCUGGCCAUGGAAGUGACAACUCACCUGCCGAAUCAACGGGCCCUGAUGAUAGAUUGUGCUGGAGCGUCGGGCCAAUACCUGGCUAUCGCUGGCCCUGAUAUCCACGGGAGCUAAGCAGUGAUGAGUAGGAGGGCUGCCUACAGUGCACACAGAAGUUUGGGGCGAGGGCCUGGGUGGAGUCACCCCAGGUGGUAGUAGCAAAUAUUGAAACGAGAAAUUUGAAGGCCAUAGUGGAGAAGGGUUCCAUGUGAACUGCAGUUGAACAUGGGUCAGUUGGUCUUAAGAGAUGGGUGAAUAUUGUUCAGAAGAGACUGGCGAUGGCGCCCGUUGCCCUCAGCCUGUCGAAAGGGAGUAGAGUUGGGGUCACCAAACACAGAGCGACGUAGAUGGGUACCCUUAGGGAAUCCAGUUCUGUAACACAAACAAUCCUGGAGAAGCUGACGAAAGCCCCGGGACAGUUCUCAUUUCUUUGCGAAGGCAGGGAACCCUGGAAUGGGUUUUGCCCAAGAGAGGGGCCCGAGCCAUGAAAUGUAUUGCUGUUCCACUGGCAUCCAGUGAUCUCUUGCUGGUCCCUGAAAACCUGGAGGGGUGAUGGUGUAAAUCUCUCGCUGGGCCAUACUCAUACCCACAGCAGGUCUCCAAGGCCAGCCUCUGGCAUGUUGGAACAAUUUAGGUAAGGGAUAACGGCAAGUCAGAUCCGUAACUUCAGCAUGAGGAUUGACUCUAAGGGCUGCGUCGGUCAGGCUGUGCCACGAAGCAGAGCUGGCCGUGUGGCAUGGCUGGAUGAGGCAUCACCCCCCAGGGAUGGCGCGGACUCUACAUGCAAGCCGGGCCCUUCCUGUGGAUGGCCCCAGCUGUGAUGGUGGCCUCUCUCCAUUCCCCUCCCGGUGCUCGGAAGCCGGCAUUCUGCCUUGGCCAACGCCUAUCAGCUGACUUAGAACCAGUGCAGGCCAGUCGAAUCCGACAAUUUAAUUUCAACAAUGCAUCGCGAAGGCCUGUCUCGCGUGUUGAUGAAGAACACAGCCAGCUGUGAGAAUUAGUGUGAAUAGAAGGACACAUUGAUCAUCGAUACUUCAAAUGCACCUUGCAGCCUUGGGUUCACUUGAACGCCAGUCGCCCCAUGGACUCCCCCCGGUGUGCAGCUGCGGCCAUCAGAGGGACCCCAUUGCCUUCGUCCCCCUAAGGUCAGACCCUGAUCAGCACCAUCGCAGGAUCCACGGACUUGGCCUUGAGGCUUGUUGCAGGUGUGUCCUGACCUCCCAUUUCCCCACCUUGUGGUAUUCAUGAGGGCCAAGUGCCCCUGCAUGCCCCGGUGGUGGUGGUGUGAGUGGGCUAAAAAUCAAACACACCUUCCCCUACCCCGGGGUGGCUGUCCGUGCUGCGUGUGGCUGUAUAUGGUGUCCCACGGCUACCUACGCCAGACACCCCUGGAGCGCUGGCCUUGU
This 3291-nucleotide ribosomal RNA is filed under the name Ambystoma mexicanum (axolotl). RNAcentral describes it as "eukaryotic LSU rRNA". The stretch from base 376 to 3291 matches the Rfam family "Eukaryotic large subunit ribosomal RNA", at positions 1 to 2184 of the family's 3401-position model. Lineage: Eukaryota; Metazoa; Chordata; Amphibia; Caudata; Ambystomatidae. The record is from RNAcentral.